UGGGGAAUAUUGGACAAUGGGCGCAAGCCUGAUCCAGCCAUGCCGCGUGAGUGAUGAAGGCCUUAGGGUUGUAAAGCUCUUUUACUCGGGAAGAUAGUGACGGUACCGAGGGAAUAAGCCCCGGCUAACUUCGUGCCAGCAGCCGCGGUAAUACGAAGGGGGCUAGCGUUGUUCGGAUUUACUGGGCGUAAAGCGCACGUAGGCGGAUCUUUAAGUCAGGGGUGAAAUCCCGAGGCUCAACCUCGGAACUGCCUUUGAUACUGGGGAUCUUGAGUCCGGAAGAGGUGAGUGGAACUGCGAGUGUAGAGGUGAAAUUCGUAGAUAUUCGCAAGAACACCAGUGGCGAAGGCGGCUCACUGGUCCGGAACUGACGCUGAGGUGCGAAAGCGUGGGGAGCAAA
RNAcentral lists this ribosomal RNA (400 nucleotides) under uncultured bacterium. RNAcentral describes it as "bacterial SSU rRNA". It matches the Rfam family "Bacterial small subunit ribosomal RNA", at positions 355 to 772 of the family's 1533-position model. The record is from RNAcentral.